UACGUAGGGUGCAAGCGUUGCUCGGAAUCAUUGGGCGUAAAGGGCAAGUAGGUGGUCUCAUUUGUCUUGUGUGACAUCCUUGGGCUUAACUCAAGAAGUGCGCAAGAAACGGUGAGACUCGAGUUCUGGAGAGGGUCGUGGAAUUCCCGGUGUAGCGGUGAAAUGCGUAGAGAUCGGGAGGAACACCAGAGGCGAAGGCGGCGACCUGGACAGAUACUGACACUCAACUGCGAAAGCGUGGGGAGCAAACAGG
This 253-nucleotide ribosomal RNA is filed under the name uncultured bacterium. RNAcentral's name for it is "partial 16S ribosomal RNA". It matches the Rfam family "Bacterial small subunit ribosomal RNA", at positions 524 to 776 of the family's 1533-position model. The record is from RNAcentral.